This 318-nucleotide ribosomal RNA is filed under the name uncultured bacterium. RNAcentral's name for it is "bacterial SSU rRNA". It matches the Rfam family "Bacterial small subunit ribosomal RNA", at positions 27 to 334 of the family's 1533-position model. The record is from RNAcentral.
GGACGAACGCUGGCGGCGUGCCUAAUACAUGCAAGUAGAACGCUGAAGUCUGGUGCUUGCACUAGACGGAUGAGUUGCGAACGGGUGAGUAACGCGUAGGUAACCUGCCUCAUAGCGGGGGUAUAACUAUUGGAAACGAUAGCUAAUACCGCAUAACAGUAUUUACCGCAUGGUAGAUGCUUGAAAGGAGCAACUGCUUCACUAUGAGAUGGACCUGCGUUGUAUUAGCUAGUUGGUGAGGUAACGGCUCACCAAGGCUUCGAUACAUAGCCGACCUGAGAGGGUGAUCGGCCACACUGGGACUGAGACACGGCCCAG